Molecule: ribosomal RNA, 542 nt
Filed under: uncultured archaeon
Lineage: Archaea
Description: bacterial SSU rRNA
Rfam family: Archaeal small subunit ribosomal RNA
Source: RNAcentral
GGGAGCCCCGAGAUGGGUACUGAGACAACGACCCAGGCCUUACGAGGCGCAGCAGGCGCGAGACCUCCACAAUACACGAAAGUGUGAUGGGGUUACCCAAAGUGUUCAACUUUGAACUGUGGUAGGUGAGUAAUGUUCCCUACUAGAAAGGAGAGGGCAAGGCUGGUGCCAGCCGCCGCGGUAAAACCAGCUCUUCAAGUGGUCGGGAUAAUUAUUGGGCUUAAAGUGUCCGUAGCCGGUUUAGUAAGUUCCUGGUAAAAUCGGGUAGCUUAACUAUCUAUAUGCUAGGAAUACUGCUAUACUAGAGGGCGGGAGAGGUCUGAGGUACUACAGGGGUAGGGGUGAAAUCUUAUAAUCCUUGUAGGACCACCAGUGGCGAAGGCGUCAGACUGGAACGCGCCUGACGGUGAGGGACGAAAGCCAGGGGAGCGAACCGGAUUAGAUACCCGGGUAGUCCUGGCUGUAAACGAUGCAUACUAGGUGAUGGCACGGCCAUGAGCCGUGUCAGUGCCGUAGGGAAACCGUUAAGUGUGCCGCCUGGG